This is a long non-coding RNA of Oxyura jamaicensis (ruddy duck), 164 nucleotides long. RefSeq lists it as uncharacterized. The record is from RefSeq and is a predicted model, not a curated record. NCBI's taxonomy places the organism in Eukaryota, Metazoa, Chordata, Aves, Anseriformes, Anatidae. The transcript is spliced from 2 exons.
UAGAGAAACUGCUGUAAUACCUCAACAGGAUUAUUCUUUUCCAAGUACCAUCCAUGAUCCAGUAUUUAAUUACUCUUCUAUUUCUACCAGAAACUAUUAAUUAAGUUGUCCUAUCUUUUCAGAGAAGAUGAAGGCCAAAGCUAGAUAAUACAAUUUCUUAAGUG